This 1717-nucleotide ribosomal RNA is filed under the name Cardiacephala brevipennis. RNAcentral describes it as "partial 28S ribosomal RNA". It matches the Rfam family "Eukaryotic large subunit ribosomal RNA", at positions 1074 to 3341 of the family's 3401-position model. The record is from RNAcentral. Lineage: Eukaryota; Metazoa; Arthropoda; Insecta; Diptera; Micropezidae.
UAAGAACCUCACCUUUCUUGAUAUGAAGGUUGAGGUUAUGAUAUAAUGUGCCCAGUGGGCCACUUUUGGUAAGCAGAACUGGCGCUGUGGGAUGAACCAAACGUAAUGUUACGGUGCCAAAAUUAACAACUCAUACAGAUACCAUGAAAGGCGUUGGUUGCUUAAAACAGCAGGACGGUGGACAUGGAAGUCGUAAUCCGCUAAGGAGUGUGUAACAACUCACCUGCCGAAGCAACUAGCCCUUAAAAUGGAUGGCGCUUAAGUUGUAUACCUAUACAUUACCGCUAAAGUAAAUGAUUUAUAUUCAAUUACGAUUGGAUUUAAUAAAUUUUGAAACUUUAGUGAGUAGGAGGGUAUAAUGAUGUGCAUAGAAGUGUUUGGCGUAAGCCUGCAUGGAGCCGUCAUUAGCACAGAUCUUGGUGGUAGUAGCAAAUAAUCGAAUGAGACCUUGGAGGACUGAAGUGGAGAAGGGUUUCGUGUGAACAGUGGUUGAUCACGAGUUAGUCGGUCCUAAGUUUAAUGCGAAAGCUGAAUAUUUUCAAAGUUUAAUAAUAAUAUAAUAUAAAAUAUAAAACACUUUGAUUAAUAUAUUUAAACGAAAGUUUCGUGUGAACAGUGGUUGAUCACGAGUUAGUCGGUCCUAAGUUUAAUGCGAAAGCUGAAUAUUUUCAAAGUUUAAUAAUAAUAUAAUAUAAAAUAUAAAACACUUUGAUUAAUAUAUUUAAACGAAAGGGAAUACGGUUCCAAUUCCGUAACCUGUUGAGUAUCCGUUUGUUAUUAAAAAUGGGCCUUGUGCUCAUCCUGGUAACAGGAACGACCAUAAAGAAGCCGUCGAGAGAUAUUGGAAGAGUUUUCUUUUCUGUUUUAUAAUCGUACUACCAUGGAAGUCUUUCGAAGAGAGAUAUGGUAGAUGGAUUAGAAGAGCAUGACAUUUACUGUUGUGUCGAUAUUAUCUCCUCGGACCUUGAAAAUUUAUGGUGGGGUCACGUAAAUCUCUCAACAGGCCGUACCGAUAUCCGCAGCUGGUCUCCAAGGUGAAGAGUCUCUAGUCGAUAGAAUAAUGUAGGUAAGGGAAGUCGGCAAAUUAUUUAAGGAGUUUUUAACAAGAGGUGUCAGAAAAGUUACCACAGGGGUAACUGGCUUGUGGCGGCCAAGCGUUCAUAGCGACGUCGCUUUUUGAUCCUUCGAUGUCGGCUCUCCCUAUCAUUGUGAAGCAAAAUUCACCAAGCGUUGGAUUGUUCACCCAUGCAAGGGAACGUGAGCUGGGUUUAGACCGUCGUGAGACAGGUUAGUUUUACCCUACUAAUGACAAUAUGUUAUUGCGACAGCAUUCCUGCGUAGUACGAGAGGAACCGCAGGUACGGACCAAUGGUACAAUACUUGUUCGAGCGAACAGUGGUAUGAUACUACGUCCGUUGGAUUAUGCCUGAACGCCUCUAAGGUCGUAUCCGCGCUGGACUGCAAUGAUAAAUAUGGGGCAAUUGCAUUGUAUGGCUUCUAAAUUAUUUUUUAAGUUUCAUAAGUAACAUUAUAAAACGACAAACAAAUUAAUUGUAUGUGACGCCAAUGUUAUAUGUAAUAUAGCUAAUGUAAGAGGAUUAAAUAUCACUUGCAUGUUACGCUUUUUUAAUUACACAUAUUUAAAACAUUAUUUAAUACAAUGACAAUGCCUAGAAUCAAUUGUAAACGACUUUGGUAACGGGCAAGGUGUUGUAAG